AUUGAACGCUGGCGGCAGGCCUAACACAUGCAAGUCGAGCGGAUGAAGGGAGCUUGCUCCUGGAUUCAGCGGCGGACGGGUGAGUAAUGCCUAGGAAUCUGCCUGGUAGUGGGGGAUAACGUCCGGAAACGGGCGCUAAUACCGCAUACGUCCUGAGGGAGAAAGUGGGGGAUCUUCGGACCUCACGCUAUCAGAUGAGCCUAGGUCGGAUUAGCUAGUUGGUGGGGUAAAAGCCUACCAAGGCGACGAUCCGUAACUGGUCUGAGAGGAUGAUCAGUCACACUGGAACUGAGACACGGUCCAGACUCCUACGGGAGGCAGCAGUGGGGAAUAUUGGACAAAGGGCGAAAGCCUGAUCCAGCCAUGCCGCGUGUGUGAAGAAGGUCUUCGGAUUGUAAAGCACUUUAAGUUGGGAGGAAGGGCAGUAAGUUAAUACCUUGCUGUUUUGACGUUACCAACAGAAUAAGCACCGGCUAACUUCGUG
Molecule: ribosomal RNA, 484 nt
Filed under: uncultured bacterium
Lineage: Bacteria
Description: partial 16S ribosomal RNA
Rfam family: Bacterial small subunit ribosomal RNA
Source: RNAcentral